CGCAGAGUAGAGCAGCUUGGUAGCUCGUCGGGUUCAUACCCCGGAGGUCGCCGGUUCAAAUCCGGCCUCUGCAA
RNAcentral lists this transfer RNA (74 nucleotides) under Paenarthrobacter sp. YJN-5. It matches the Rfam family "tRNA". From Rfam's summary of the family: Transfer RNA (tRNA) molecules are approximately 80 nucleotides in length. Their secondary structure includes four short double-helical elements and three loops (D, anti-codon, and T loops). Lineage: Bacteria; Bacillati; Actinomycetota; Actinomycetes; Micrococcales; Micrococcaceae. The record is from Rfam by way of RNAcentral.